RNAcentral lists this ribosomal RNA (1672 nucleotides) under Triticum aestivum (bread wheat). Its description in RNAcentral is "partial small subunit ribosomal RNA". The record is from RNAcentral. Lineage: Eukaryota; Viridiplantae; Streptophyta; Magnoliopsida; Poales; Poaceae.
UGCUCGGCCGUCGUUCGUCGGCAGGUACGGGGUGUGCCCCGCCGGUCGAGUUGGCUGUUUGUGAUUCGUUCGAGCGGUUCGGUACUGUUCGGCGGCUUGGGGCAUGGUGGGUGGGUCGUCUCCCUUAUCCUGCGUCGUCGCCUGCCUCUUCUCCUCCUGUCCUCCUUUCGUUUCGUUUCGACUCGGUGCUCACUCCUCUCCGUGCUCCUGCGCUCUGGUCUGCGAGUCGUCGCUAGGGUUGGUCGCCGACGGGCUCCGAUGGCGGCGCGCUGCCGUGACGCGGUUAAGAUCUGCUGUUCUCCUCUUUGCUGGGCCUGGAUCCGCUGCACCGUUCUUCGAUCUGCGGUUGCUCCUGCUUGGUCAGCAAACCUGCUCAUCCUCGUGUGCGUGCUGGUCUUCGCGUCUUGCUCCAAGGAUCUGCAGGUUGUUUUGGUCUAGAGGUUAUUUCUCCGAGCCGGCCGUGUUGAUAGGCCCUGUAACGUGGUGGUGUUGUUGGUUGCUUCGCACGUUCUAUACAGCGUUGAGUUCCAGAAACGGGGACUGCCACAUGCUCAUAUCCUUGUUUGGUUGAAGGGAGAUCAUUCAAAGGCCACUCAAGGCACCUAGCCCAAUGCACAGGCAACCCACAAGCCACAAGGACGACGGGGCGGCCCAUCAAAAGAGGCCCAACCAGCUAGUCCAGCCGCCGCCAUGGAUGAACCCUCCUCUGCAUUGACAACCUCGUCCAUCAAGCUGCCCACAAAUGAUGAGCUGCUGGUCAAGGGCUUUCCUCCGCAAUCUCCUAUCUGUGUCACCAUCAGCAAGCAAUUCAUUCUUGAACAAGCAAUUGAAAGAAUUGGUGGCACAAUCCAUCCAUUCACUUUCACCGACAUAGGCAGUGACGAUGUGGGUAUCUCUGUCUCUAAUGACCUGCCCCCGCACAGCAAAAGACUGUCAAGCACAACAAAGGAAUUUCAUGGACCAUGCAUUGAAUCUACGUGUGUUGCCGCCCUUGGAUACCUUCAGAAAACAGGUAUAAUCACGGUAGAUGAUGCAAAUUUCGCGAAGUUGAAAAAAUGCAAUAGAAAACUUCAGGUUGAGGAGUUCUGGUCGUCGGCGCUCUACGAUCAGGCCAGCGCCCUGCGUAACCAACUCUCUUCACUGACCGCAAUCAACCAGGGUCCUCAACCUAAGCCUAAACAAGAAGCUAAUGUGCUACCUUCUACGCACAAGAAUACUCCACGGGCCAAUUACCAAAUCAUGCUGUCCGAGGAUACCAGUGAAGAAGAAAGUGCAUCAACCCCGGUCACAGCAAAUACUAAUAGCAUCUAUCGUCUACCUUCUAAAAGUAACAAGAAGAUGAGGACCGCACGCCGAGCACUAUUCCCUGGAAAAUAGAGCAGCACACACGCCAUUGCAGGCUCCCAUCAUUACAACAACACGAUGGAAUAAGCCAUUCUCCGAGUCUACGUUGCAUUGAACCUUGCCAGAUUCAGGACCCGUCGCUUUUGUCAUACACGCAGCUUGAUCUUGCAGCUGUAUAGCACUAUGUAUAAAUGCAUGAAACCCUCUGUUAUGCUACUCCGGAUUAGAUGCAAAUUACAUGCUUUUGUACCUCCCCACGUCGAACGAAGGCAGUUCACAUUCAAGCUUUAUUGCCCCUGAACAAUUAACAUUAUAAUCUAUCUUUUCA